RNAcentral lists this unclassified non-coding RNA (153 nucleotides) under uncultured fungus. Its description in RNAcentral is "sequence contains ITS1". Lineage: Eukaryota; Fungi. The record is from RNAcentral.
GUCUUUUUUAUUUCUCAACUAACUCUGUCAAACAAACAAGCGUAAACAUCAAGGCCUUGCGACCUUGUGCUAAUGUUGUGAGUGCUACGGCGGUUAAGCACGCAGACUCGCAAAAGAUUUGUAAUGAUCCUUCCGCAGGUUCACCUACGGAAA